AUUGAACGCUGGCGGCAGGCUUAACACAUGCAAGUCGAGCGGAGAUGAGGUGCUUGCACCUUAUCUUAGCGGCGGACGGGUGAGUAAUGCUUAGGAAUCUGCCUAUUAGUGGGGGACAACAUUCCGAAAGGAAUGCUAAUACCGCAUACGUCCUACGGGAGAAAGCAGGGGAUCUUCGGACCUUGCGCUAAUAGAUGAGCCUAAGUCGGAUUAGCUAGUUGGUGGGGUAAAGGCCUACCAAGGCGACGAUCUGUAGCGGGUCUGAGAGGAUGAUCCGCCACACUGGGACUGAGACACGGCCCAGACUCCUACGGGAGGCAGCAGUGGGGAAUAUUGGACCAUGGGGGGAACCCUGAUCCAGCCAUGCCGCGUGUGUGAAGAAGGCCUUAUGGUUGUAAAGCACUUUAAGCGAGGAGGAGGCUACUGAGACUAAUACUCUUGGAUAGUGGACGUUACUCGCAGAAUAAGCACAGGCUAACUCUGUGCCAGCCGCCGCGGUAA
RNAcentral lists this ribosomal RNA (501 nucleotides) under uncultured bacterium. RNAcentral describes it as "partial 16S ribosomal RNA". It matches the Rfam family "Bacterial small subunit ribosomal RNA", at positions 30 to 523 of the family's 1533-position model. The record is from RNAcentral.